Molecule: regulatory RNA element, 149 nt
Organism: Acidovorax temperans
Lineage: Bacteria; Pseudomonadati; Pseudomonadota; Betaproteobacteria; Burkholderiales; Comamonadaceae
Rfam family: radC RNA
Source: Rfam
CCACAUCGGAAAUGCCUGCCGACGUCGUCGGCGACAUGCCCAGGUAGCCCCGGUCUUCAAGGCUACGGCGCAGUCCGCUGCGCUGACCACAACCCCGUUCGCCUCGCAUCCUGGCCGCGAACGAUCACCGCUGCCGCGGUGAUGGAUGC